AACGCUAGCUACAGGCUUAACACAUGCAAGUCGAGGGGCAGCAUGAACUUAGCUUGCUAAGUUUGAUGGCGACCGGCGCACGGGUGAGUAACACGUAUCCAACCUUCCGUUUACUCAGGGAUAGCCUUUCGAAAGAAAGAUUAAUACCUGAUAGUAUGGUGAGAUUGCAUGAUGGCACCAUUAAAGAUUUAUUGGUAAACGAUGGGGAUGCGUUCCAUUAGGUAGUAGGCGGGGUAACGGCCCACCUAGCCGACGAUGGAUAGGGGUUCUGAGAGGAAGGUCCCCCACAUUGGAACUGAGACACGGUCCAAACUCCUACGGGAGGCAGCAGUGAGGAAUAUUGGUCAAUGGACGAGAGUCUGAACCAGCCAAGUAGCGUGCAGGAUGACGGCCCUAUGGGUUGUAAACUGCUUUUAUAAGGGAAUAAAGUGAGUCUCGUGAGACUUUUUGCAUGUACCUUAUGAAUAAGGACCGGCUAAUUCCGUGCCAGCAGCCGCGGUAAUACGGAAGGUCCGGGCGUUAUCCGGAUUUAUUGGGUUUAAAGGGAGCGUAGGCCGGAGAUUAAGCGUGUUGUGAAAUGUAGAUGCUCAACAUCUGCACUGCAGCGCGAACUGGUUUCCUUGAGUACGCACAAAGUGGGCGGAAUUCGUGGUGUAGCGGUGAAAUGCUUAGAUAUCACGAAGAACUCCGAUUG
Molecule: ribosomal RNA, 694 nt
Filed under: uncultured bacterium
Lineage: Bacteria
Description: bacterial SSU rRNA
Rfam family: Bacterial small subunit ribosomal RNA
Source: RNAcentral